RNAcentral lists this long non-coding RNA (1516 nucleotides) under Anolis carolinensis (green anole). Its description in RNAcentral is "lncRNA (ENSACAG00000044374.1)". The record is from RNAcentral. Lineage: Eukaryota; Metazoa; Chordata; Lepidosauria; Squamata; Anolidae.
AUGUCCCUCAGAUGGGAAAAUGGCAAAGAGAAAGGUUCCAAUCCAGUUAAAGCAACAAAUGAAGCUGGGAAAACAAUUCUGACAUCACCCCGUGAACCUCUUCAGGUGUUACUGGUUCGAUGUGUGUUCCUCUUCCAUGAUAGCAAAAAGCCCUUAAGAACUCCCCUGUGGGUCAUCAGAUUUUUUGAAAUCUAUCUCAUCUACUGCAUCUGGAGUUUCAUUACUGUGGAGGGCCGCAAAUGUAUCGUUAUCAUCCAGAAGAGCCAUUCUUUUGACUGAUUCUUAAAACUGUCCAGGUAUACAAAGUCUAAAUUUAUAGCUUCCCCUCUGAAGUAGCUAAUACCUCUGGUUGGGAGAGAAAACCAUGGCAAGUUUUCUCUGAACACAUAUUCUUUUACUGCUUCCUGUUGCCAAAACAGUGUUGACAUGAGGCUAUUUAUCAGUAGAGAAACAUUCACAUCUACCAAGUUGCAGUCAAAACAGAAUCUCACAUAGGCUUGCAAAAACGUCUGAGUGCUAAUUGACAGCACAAUAGUCAAUUUCUUCUUGGUGUGCAUGCAUGAUUUUAGUAAACAAUUACUUAGGAUUGUAAUUUUGAUAGACUGAAAAUCAUUUCAAAUUCCUUUCCAGGCUGAGCUUUGAGGAGAAUAAAAUGUUGAUAAUCUAUUAAAAUGCUUUCCCAACUGUUAUCUCUGUAUUUCUGUGUUUUAUUAACUUCACUGAUAGAGCAAAGCAUCGUUUACUCCAGAAUUUCUCGUGACUAAUGUGUGUUGUGAAAUGGUACAUCACGAGCCUUUUUCACUAAAGCAUAUAAACUCACAUCCUACAUUAAAUAGAUAUGGAGUCUUGCCAAACCUGUUCCAGCUUUUUCUCUACCUUUAAUGUAACUUAUAAAAUUAUCUACAACUGUACAGGUGAUCAGAGACUGUACUUUUUUCCAGGGCUCACACCUGCAUAUAUCAACAGUGUAUAUAGAUCCAGUAAAACUUCAAACUCUGAUUUUCCAGAGUCCUAAUUCAGCAUACAAACCACUUAUCAGUGUGGGAUCCUGGUUUCUAAGUGCUAUUGACACAAUUUAAAUAAUCUCUGAACUAGUAACCAUGGAGGGACAAAUAGACACAUUAGGAAGUUUUGAAAUAGUAUCAUUCAAUAUCAGUAUUAGAGUCAUCCAGGUAUUUUCAAUUUCUCUGUAUAGUUAUCAAAGCUGAACAGUGACAAAAAUCAAUUCAUUUGAAAUGUGGAGCUGAAGAAGAUGCCACAGAGUGCUAAAGGGACAAAUGAAUGGGUCUCCCACUCUGAACCCUCACUAGAAGCAAAAUAAUUAAACUCUGGCUAUUAGGCUACUUUGACCAUAUCCUUUUUUUCGUGUCAGGAGCGACUUGAGAAACUGCAAGUCGGUUCUGGUAAGAGAGAAUUGGCCAUCUGCAAAGACGUUGGCCAGGGGACACCCAGAUUUUUUUUAAUGUUUUACCAUCUUUGUGGGACACUUCUCUCAUGUCCCUGACCAUAUCCUGAU